GUAGGGAAUCUUGCGCAAUGGGCGAAAGCCUGACGCAGCCAUGCCGCGUGAAUGAUGAAGGUCUUAGGAUUGUAAAAUUCUUUCACCGGGGACGAUAAUGACUGUAGCCGGAGAAGAAGCCCCGGCUAACUUCGUGCCAGCAGCCGCGGUAAUACGAAGGGGGCUAGCGUUGCUCGGAAUUACUGGGCGUAAAGGGAGCGUAGGCGGACAUUUAAGUCAGGGGUGAAAUCCCGAGGCUCAACCUCGGAACUGCCUUUGAUACUGGGUGUCUUGAGUGUGAGAGAGGUGAGUGGAACUCCGAGUGUAGAGGUGAAAUUCGUAGAUAUUCGGAAGAACACCAGUGGCGAAGGCGACUCACUGGCUCAUUACUGACGCUGAGGCUCGAAAGCGUGGGGAGCAAACAGGAUUAGAUACCCGGGUAGUCC
Molecule: ribosomal RNA, 425 nt
Filed under: uncultured bacterium
Lineage: Bacteria
Description: partial 16S ribosomal RNA
Rfam family: Bacterial small subunit ribosomal RNA
Source: RNAcentral